GGUGGAAGACCCACCGGACUCGCCAUACAGGUGGAGGGUUCAAACAACCUUAAGGUGCUGCAAGCAAAAGUUGUGGUAUUGAGCGUUAAGGAAAAGGCAAUCUAGAAUUGUCAUG
This 115-nucleotide non-coding RNA is filed under the name Breznakia blatticola. The record is from RNAcentral. Lineage: Bacteria; Bacillati; Bacillota; Erysipelotrichia; Erysipelotrichales; Erysipelotrichaceae.